This 1480-nucleotide long non-coding RNA is filed under the name Suricata suricatta (meerkat). RNAcentral's name for it is "lncRNA (ENSSSUG00005021081.1)". The record is from RNAcentral. Lineage: Eukaryota; Metazoa; Chordata; Mammalia; Carnivora; Herpestidae.
CUCGGCAGACGGUGGCUGCCCCUCCGAGCUGCCAUCGCCGGCGCCGCCCCGCCGCCGCCGCCGCCCGCCCCGCGCCCCGCGUCUUCCUGGACAGCCAUUUUUACCCGAGUAGGCGGCCCAGUCCCAGAGCGGGCUCGUUCAAACCUUCUCCGCCUCUCCCGCCCGCACCCAGGGAUCCCUCGGCCUCCUCGGGGAGACGUGGCUCCCGAGGGACCGGCGGAGUAACGGCUUUUUCGGUCUUGGAACGGACCAGAACCAAUUGUUACCAAACAAGCGAUAAUGCGGGCCGAGGUUGCGCGGGUCCUGGCCGAGGGCGGGCCCAGGGAAAGCGGCCUGGGCGGGCGGCGCUGCCGUUCCGGAGCUCGGAGGGUGGUAGCACGGCCACUGUCCCGGGACACGGCGAGCGCUUUCCUCCCUCGCUCUCCCUCCCCGCCCCGCCGCAACACCCCCAGAGUCCGGCUCCAGGGUGGCUGGAAAGCAGGGAAGGGGUAGGGGGAGGGAGCCGGAGGAUAAGAGGGGCUGGCCAAAUAUCUUACCUUGUACUCCGCCGGGAGCUGGGCGGGCUGGGUGGCCUGGGGAGGGGGAAAAGGGUCGGGGGAGGGGGCGGGGAAAGGGGGGGAGCCCCUGUGAGGUGUAGCUUCGGAGCAGCUCCCGCCGCCGCCACAGCCACCGCCUCCUUUCCGAUUCACUCAAACAAACAAGAUGGCCGCCGUUACGCCGCGGCUCUUCCUGCCGCCCAAAACCUCGGUUCAAAUCGGCAGGAUGUUUACGGUCAAAAUGUUGUGCAGCCCCGAACUGAGCAUGCGUCAAGGUGAUUUUUGGCCAAAGCGUCUUCAAGCUUAGAGGACCCGGCAGACAGCGCACGCGUAGUGCUUGCCAGUGAAGUGACUUAAUCGUUAUCCUUGUGCUAGCUUUAGAGGGAAGAGCUGUCGUUGUUGCCACGACACAAACUCAUUUUAAUGGUUCUGUAGUGACGAAGGUAGCUUAAACAAACUCCAUAAAAUCUAGCGGUUUAUUCAGUCAACCUAGAUGGUCUUCCCUGAACCAUAUAUUGUGAUAGUUGGGGUCGGGGACAUAGUGAUGAAUACAACAGAGAUAGAACCUGCCUCCAUGAAGCUUUCAGAAUAGCUAGGGAGGGAUUUUUGAAUUUUUGGACAGGCUUGUGGCACAAAAAAAGCCAAAUGUACAAGGAGACCAAAAAGUAGGGCAGUUGGAAGAGAAGGUCUUUCUUAAGGAAUUUUGCAGCUGGGAUGUGGAGGUUGAAUCCCAGGAAGAGAGAACAGCGUGUACAAAAGUCCUGUGGCAGUAGAGAACAAGCUAGGGACAGAGGAAAAAAAGAAAGUCAUGUGUCUGCACACUGAUGGAGGAUUCUGCAUUUUAGAAAGGUCAUCCAGGCAUAUUGGAGAGGACUAGAGUAAAUGACCAAGUGUAGUGUGUGUGUGUGUGUGUGUGUGUGUGUGUGUGUGUGUGUGUUUUAAAG